CAGUGCGAUCAUACCAGCACUAAUGCACUGAAUCCCAUCAGAACUUCACAAUCAAGCAUGCUUGGGCGAGGGUAGUACUAGGAUGGGUGACCUCUUGAGAAGUCCUCAUGUUGCACCUC
RNAcentral lists this ribosomal RNA (119 nucleotides) under Lupinus angustifolius (narrow-leaved blue lupine). The record is from RNAcentral. Lineage: Eukaryota; Viridiplantae; Streptophyta; Magnoliopsida; Fabales; Fabaceae.